GAUGAACGCUGGCGGUGUGCCUAAUACAUGCAAGUCGAGCGAACGGACGAGAAGCUUGCUUCUCUGAUGUUAGCGGCGGACGGGUGAGUAACACGUGGAUAACCUACCUAUAAGACUGGGAUAACUUCGGGAAACCGGAGCUAAUACCGGAUAAUAUUUUGAACCGCAUGGUUCAAAAGUGAAAGACGGUCUUGCUGUCACUUAUAGAUGGAUCCGCGCUGCAUUAGCUAGUUGGUAAGGUAACGGCUUACCAAGGCAACGAUGCAUAGCCGACCUGAGAGGGUGAUCGGCCACACUGGAACUGAGACACGGUCCAGACUCCUACGGGAGGCAGCAGUAGGGAAUCUUCCGCAAUGGGCGAAAGCCUGACGGAGCAACGCCGCGUGAGUGAUGAAGGUCUUCGGAUCGUAAAACUCUGUUAUUAGGGAAGAACAUAUGUGUAAGUAACUGUGCACAUCUUGACGGUACCCAAUCAGAAAGCCACGGCUAACUACGUG
This 497-nucleotide ribosomal RNA is filed under the name uncultured bacterium. RNAcentral's name for it is "partial 16S ribosomal RNA". It matches the Rfam family "Bacterial small subunit ribosomal RNA", at positions 28 to 507 of the family's 1533-position model. The record is from RNAcentral.